GACGAACGCUGGCGGCGUGCUUAACACAUGCAAGUCGAACGGAAAGGCCCUGCUUUUGUGGGUUGCUCGAGUGCCGAAGGGGUGAGUAACACGUGAGUAACCUGCCCUUAUCUUUGGGAUAACUUCAGGAAACUGGGGCUAAUACCGGAUAGGAGCUCCUGCUGCACGGUGGGGGUUGGAAAGUUUCGGCGGUUGGGGAUGGAUUCGCGGCUUAUCAGCUGGUUGGUGGGGUAGUGGCUGACCAAGGUUUUGACGGGUAGCCGGCCUGAGAGGGUGACCGGCCACAUUGGGACUGAGAUACGGCCCAGACUCCUACGGGAGGCAGCAGUGGGGAAUAUUGCACAACGGGCGGAAGCCUGAUGCAGCAACGCCGCGUGCGGGAUGACGGCCUUCGGGUUGUAAACCGCUUUCGCCUGUGACGAAGCGUGAGUGACGGUAAUGGGUAAAGAAGCACCGGCUAACUACGUG
Molecule: ribosomal RNA, 468 nt
Filed under: uncultured bacterium
Lineage: Bacteria
Description: partial 16S ribosomal RNA
Rfam family: Bacterial small subunit ribosomal RNA
Source: RNAcentral